This 1427-nucleotide unclassified non-coding RNA is filed under the name Hevea brasiliensis (rubber tree). Lineage: Eukaryota; Viridiplantae; Streptophyta; Magnoliopsida; Malpighiales; Euphorbiaceae. The record is from RNAcentral.
GUUUUUAGUUAGUUUCCUGUUUCCCUCUCACUCUUUCUCUCUCCUAGCUGCUGCUCUCUCCUCUUCUCGCCCAAUGUAUAACUUCCCCAUCUAAAUAAUUCUCUCUUUCGCCAGAAAACACCUCCGACUCAGUCAUGGCACAGACACCGAUUCAGCUAACCACCUUCUUCUCCUUCUUCAUCUUCUUGUCUUCCCUUCAACUCGAUCCCACAACCGUGCACGGCCUCUCGACCAAUUCAACCACCACCGUCCUUCUAGAUGGGGCCCGACCUGCCAUGGUAUUGCCGCUCUUUCUCUCUCCUCCAAAUUCUUCCAAAACACCGUCGAAUCUGCAUCGCCACCUCCAAGGAUCCAAUGCUAGCAACCGUCCCUACGCUCGCAUGAGACUCUACGACGAUCUCCUUCUCAACGGGUAUUACACUACGCGGCUUUGGAUCGGGACUCCACCUCAGAGAUUUGCUCUUAUCGUUGAUACCGGCAGUACUGUUACGUAUGUCCCGUGCUCUUCUUGUGAGCAAUGUGGCAGGCACCAGGAUCCAAAAUUUCAGCCAGAAUUGUCAAGCACCUAUCAACCUGUAAAGUGCAACAUUGAUUGCAACUGUGACAAUGAAAAGGUACAGUGUGUUUAUGAGAGACAGUAUGCUGAGAUGAGCACUAGCAGUGGUGUCCUUGGUGAGGACAUCAUAUCCUUUGGCAAUCAGAGUGAAUUGGCACCCCAGCGUGCUGUUUUUGGUUGUGAGAAUCUGGAAACUGGUGACCUUUACAGUCAACAUGCUGAUGGCAUAAUGGGAUUGGGCCGUGGUGAUCUUAGUAUUGUUGAUCAACUUGUUGAAAAAGGUGUAAUAAGUGACUCAUUCUCAUUGUGUUACGGUGGAAUGGAUAUUGGUGGUGGUGCAAUGGUUCUUGGUGGUAUAUCUCCUCCUUCAGGCACAGUCUUUACAGAUUCAGAUCCUGUGCGCAGGUGUGUUGUUAAAAAUUUUCUCUCUUAGACAUCAUAUGUCUUGAAGCUUCCUAACAAUUACAUUGGUACCUUUCACACAUUUACUCUAGUUUCGGGAUGGCAACAGUCCAUACUAUAACAUUGAUUUGAAGGAGAUACAUGUUGCGGGGAAGCAGUUGCCUUUGAACCCAAGUGUGUUUGAUGAAAGACAUGGUACUAUCCUUGAUAGUGGUACAACAUAUGCUUACCUACCGGCAGCAGCAUUUGCAGCAUUUAAGGAUGCUAUUAUGAAGGAACUUUAUCCCUUAAAGCAGAUCCGUGGUCCUGAUCCAAAUUAUAAUGAUAUUUGCUUUUCUGGUGCUCCAAGUGCUGUUUCCCAACUCUCAAAUGCAUUUCCACCAAUUGAUUUAGUAUUUGGUAAUGGGCAACACUUGUCUCUAUCACCUGAAAAUUACUUAUUUCGGCAUUCCAAAGUUCGUGGUGCAUA